UGCCAAAGUUUUUCUCGGCAGCUAACUGCAGCCGGUUUCUUUAAAAUUCAGCAGUUAACUGCCGAAGGAUAU
Molecule: microRNA precursor, 72 nt
Filed under: Medicago truncatula (barrel medic)
Lineage: Eukaryota; Viridiplantae; Streptophyta; Magnoliopsida; Fabales; Fabaceae
Description: MIR2629 microRNA precursor family
Rfam family: MIR2629 microRNA precursor family
Source: Rfam by way of RNAcentral